AUGUAGGGCAUUGUACCCAUGUAGGGUAUUGUACCCAUGUAGGGUAUUGUACCCGUGUGGAGCAUUGUACCCAUGUGGGGCAUUGUACCCAUGUAGGGUAUUGUACCCAUGUGGAGCAUUGUACCCAUAAGGGGUUAGGUCCGAAUCCCCUCAACAGGAUGUAACACGUUCUACUUCUUGUAGUCCUGCCAAGGUAUGGUGAGAUUUGUGAGACGUGUCUCGUACUUCUGCAAUUUGGUGAAGACAUCUCACAUGACAAUAGCACAAAUAACACAUAACCAUUUCCCAUCAAUGAGUGAAGCCUGUCAGCAAAGAAAGAAAUAUGUAAUUUAUGGUCUAUAAUCUGUUUAACUGAAAACUACUAUAUUGAAUUGAAAAUCGGUGUUAUUAAGAGAAUGGAUAUAUAUAUAAAUACAUACAAGGUAAAUGCCUGACUACAUCUGGAAGGGUUAAUACAGACAUACAAAUAUAUACACGGUAGGUACACAAAGACAGACUAGGUAAAUGCCUGACUACAUCUGGAAGGGUUAAUACAGACAUACAAAUAUAUACACAGUAGGUACACAAA
Long non-coding RNA from Haliotis rufescens (red abalone), 568 nucleotides. RefSeq lists it as uncharacterized. NCBI's taxonomy places the organism in Eukaryota, Metazoa, Mollusca, Gastropoda, Lepetellida, Haliotidae. The record is from RefSeq and is a predicted model, not a curated record. The transcript has 2 exons.